UACGAAGGGGGCUAGCGUUGCUCGGAAUCACUGGGCGUAAAGGGUGCGUAGGCGGGUCUUUAAGUCAGGGGUGAAAUCCUGGAGCUCAACUCCAGAACUGCCUUUGAUACUGAGGAUCUUGAGUUCGGGAGAGGUGAGUGGAACUGCGAGUGUAGAGGUGAAAUUCGUAGAUAUUCGCAAGAACACCAGUGGCGAAGGCGGCUCACUGGCCCGAUACUGACGCUGAGGCACGAAAGCGUGGGUAGCAAACAGGG
Molecule: ribosomal RNA, 254 nt
Filed under: uncultured bacterium
Lineage: Bacteria
Description: partial 16S ribosomal RNA
Rfam family: Bacterial small subunit ribosomal RNA
Source: RNAcentral